AGUGAACGCUGGCGGUAGGCCUAACACAUGCAAGUCGAACGGCAGCACAGGAGAGCUUGCUCUCUGGGUGGCGAGUGGCGGACGGGUGAGGAAUACAUCGGAAUCUACUUUUUCGUGGGGGAUAACGUAGGGAAACUUACGCUAAUACCGCAUACGACCUACGGGUGAAAGCAGGGGACCUUCGGGCCUUGCGCGAUUGAAUGAGCCGAUGUCGGAUUAGCUAGUUGGCGGGGUAAAGGCCCACCAAGGCGACGAUCCGUAGCUGGUCUGGGAGGAUGAUCAGCCACACUGGAACUGAGACACGGGCCAGACUCCUACGGGAGGCAGCAGUGGGGAAUAUUGGAAAAUGGGCGCAAGCCUGAUCCAGCCAUCCCGCGUGGGUGAAGAAGGCCUUCGGGUUGUAAAGCCCUUUUGUUGGGAAAGAAAUCCAGCUGGCUAAUACCCGGUUGGGAUGACGGUACCCAAAGAAUAAGCACCGGCUAACUUCGUGCCAGCCGCCGCCGUAA
RNAcentral lists this ribosomal RNA (506 nucleotides) under uncultured bacterium. Its description in RNAcentral is "partial 16S ribosomal RNA". It matches the Rfam family "Bacterial small subunit ribosomal RNA", at positions 29 to 523 of the family's 1533-position model. The record is from RNAcentral.